This is a non-coding RNA of Scomber scombrus (Atlantic mackerel), 420 nucleotides long. The record is from the annotation of a RefSeq genome assembly. NCBI's taxonomy places the organism in Eukaryota, Metazoa, Chordata, Actinopteri, Scombriformes, Scombridae.
AUGAUGGACUAUAGGACAGGACUGCUGCUUCUAACUAUCUGCUGGACAGGUGUUGAUGGUCAGACUCUCACAGAAUCUGAACCAGCAAUUAAAAAGCCUGGAGAAUCCCACAAACUGACCUGUACAACCUCUGGAUUCACAUUCAGUAGUUCCUGGGUGAAUUGGAUCAGACAGGCUCCUGGAAAAGGACUGGAGUGGAUUGCAACUAUCAGUAAUAGUGGUGGUAGCAGCCAAUACUACUCUCAGUCAGUUCAAGGCCGGUUCACCAUCUCCAGAGAUGACAGCAGACAGCAGCUGUAUCUGCAGAUGAACAGUCUGAAGACUGAAGAUUCUGCUGUUUAUUAUUGUGCUCGAGUGGCAAAUGAUGAAUUUAACUUUUCAGUAUCAGUAAAAAAUCUGUUCAUCUAUAUUAAUACGUGA